Molecule: ribosomal RNA, 261 nt
Filed under: uncultured bacterium
Lineage: Bacteria
Description: partial 16S ribosomal RNA
Rfam family: Bacterial small subunit ribosomal RNA
Source: RNAcentral
CGAACGGGUGAGUAGCACGUGGGCAACCUGCCCAAAAGAGGGGGAUAACACUUGGAAACAGGUGCUAAUACCGCAUAACCAUAGUUACCGCAUGGUAACUAUGUAAAAGGUGGCUAUGCUACCGCUUUUGGAUGGGCCCGCGACGCAUUAGCUAGUUGGUGGGGUAAAGGCUUACCAAGGCAAUGAUGCGUAGCCGAACUGAGAGGUUGAUCGGCCACAUUGGGACUGAGACACGGCCCAAACUCCUACGGAAGGCAGCAG